CCUACGGGAGGCAGCAGUGGGGAAUUUUGGACAAUGGGCGAAAGCCUGAUCCAGCCAUGCCGCGUGCAGGAUGAAGGCCUUCGGGUUGUAAACUGCUUUUGUACGGAACGAAAAGACUCCUUCUAAUAAAGGGGGUCCAUGACGGUACCGUAAGAAUAAGCACCGGCUAACUACGUGCCAGCAGCCGCGGUAAU
This 194-nucleotide ribosomal RNA is filed under the name uncultured bacterium. Its description in RNAcentral is "partial 16S ribosomal RNA". It matches the Rfam family "Bacterial small subunit ribosomal RNA", at positions 338 to 524 of the family's 1533-position model. The record is from RNAcentral.